UAAACUUUCCCAUGGAAACAGUGAUGCAGACAGAACAAGGGUGUCCUGUAAAGGUGACAACAUUCAAAUACAUCCACUGAUUUAUCACUGUCAAAAUAUUAAAUACUCAAGUGACUAUUCUGCAAUUAUAGCAAUUAUCAUAAUUGGCAUCUGUGCUUACUGUAAUCCAGGAACAGUGUACUGAGUCUCAUUUAUCCCUCAUAAUUUACUGAGCUACACAACAUUAACCUCUUUUUAAAGACCUACAGUUUGCUGCUCUACAGUUAGGAGAGUCUGGGACUUCCAAGCUAAACAAUGCUACAUUGACUUAUGGGCAUUCAGUAUUACUAGAGAAAAGAGAUGCAAAGUUUGAGAUAUGCACUGUGAAAUCUGAGUUCAAGGAAUCUGACAGGAAGGAAGUCCUAACCUUGAUCCCAACAUAACUCUGGAAC
Long non-coding RNA from Fukomys damarensis (Damara mole-rat), 431 nucleotides. RefSeq lists it as uncharacterized. The transcript has 4 exons. The record is from RefSeq and is a predicted model, not a curated record. NCBI's taxonomy places the organism in Eukaryota, Metazoa, Chordata, Mammalia, Rodentia, Bathyergidae.